Molecule: unclassified non-coding RNA, 525 nt
Filed under: Hevea brasiliensis (rubber tree)
Lineage: Eukaryota; Viridiplantae; Streptophyta; Magnoliopsida; Malpighiales; Euphorbiaceae
Source: RNAcentral
UUUUUUCAUUGGGUUGUAACAUGCUAUAAAAGUCAAAUUACUUUGAGAAACAGUGGAAUAAAUUAGUAAAAGUACAACCUAACAAAUAGACCUAUGACUUUCAUGUCAGCUUUAGAACAUCUGCCAAAAAUAUCAAAAUUAGCAUGCCUUGUCUCCGAAGUAUGGGAUGAGCAAAUAAUCAUAUAUGAUGUAACUAUUCACUCAAAGCCUGUGGAAGGCAGCAAUGACAUGUUCACCCUCAAAAAGUUAAUUCCAAUUUUCAAAACAAGCAUCAUAAGAAAUAGUGAACAAGUUACACUCAUCCAAAACAAAUAUGAGAAGAUAGUCACUUAAAACAUCUUUAUUUUGUUGGUUCUAGUACUUCUCCAUAAAAAAUGGUAAAACAGCAUUAUAGUUAGUUUCCUAUUAAUCUCAAGUCAAGCCCAAGGAAGAGAUGAUAUAUAUAGUAAUUUGAGGACGGAAUUUAUGGCGUAACAGUUACAUUAUAACAUAUAGUAUGUUGGAAUGGAAAAUACUGAGUAUGAA